GGAUAUAAUGAUACCGGCACUAAUAUAUUUGAUUUCGUUGAAACUCAGUGUAAUCAAGCGUGCUUUGAAUGAGAUUUGUACUAAGUUGGAAUGAUUACUUGAAAAGUUUUUGCGUUGUACUCC
This 123-nucleotide ribosomal RNA is filed under the name Cucumis melo (muskmelon). The record is from RNAcentral. Lineage: Eukaryota; Viridiplantae; Streptophyta; Magnoliopsida; Cucurbitales; Cucurbitaceae.